GCUGUUAUUUUCUUCUCUAGAAAGUCUGGCAUCCAAGGUUCACAAACCCAAUUCAGGCCUGGCAAGAACCCAUGAUAAACACAGAGGCAAAAGAUGGUGUUUUGAAACCAGGAGCUAGCACCUCCUUUGAGGACAAUAAUUCUGAUAAUAAAAAUGAAGAUGUGGUUACAACCUUUCCCCAACCAUCAACCGAAGUUCCAGGCUUUUCUCAUCCUGCCUUCCCAGCACCGGAACCUCUCACGUCUUCAGCAGUCCUUGGUGUUACAGAGGAAGAAGCAGCUAAGCCAAAAACUGGGGGAAAAGAGAAUGGCACUCGGACUAUUAAAAGUGUUCUAAAGGAGCAAGCAGAUCAUAAAAAAUUGAUUUCUAUUGAUGGAGCACACAA
Camelus dromedarius (Arabian camel) is the source of this 385-nucleotide long non-coding RNA. RefSeq lists it as uncharacterized. The transcript has 3 exons. Lineage: Eukaryota; Metazoa; Chordata; Mammalia; Artiodactyla; Camelidae. The record is from RefSeq and is a predicted model, not a curated record.